This 468-nucleotide ribosomal RNA is filed under the name uncultured bacterium. RNAcentral describes it as "partial 16S ribosomal RNA". It matches the Rfam family "Bacterial small subunit ribosomal RNA", at positions 28 to 507 of the family's 1533-position model. The record is from RNAcentral.
GACGAACGCUGGCGGCGUGCUUAACACAUGCAAGUCGAACGGAAAGGCCCUGCUUUUGUGGGGUGCUCGAGUGGCGAACGGGUGUGUAACACGUGAGUAACCUGCCCUUGACUUUGGGAUAACUUCAGGAAACUGGGGCUAAUACCGGAUAGGAGCUCCUGCUGCAUGGUGGGGGUUGGAAAGUUUCGGCGGUUGGGGAUGGACUCGCGGCUUAUCAGCUUGUUGGUGGGGUAGUGGCUUACCAAGGCUUUGACGGGUAGCCGGCCUGAGAGGGUGACCGGGCACAUUGGGACUGAGGUACGGCCCAGACUCCUACGGGGGGCAGCAGGGGGAAAUAUUGCACAAUGGGCGGAAGCCUGAUGCAGCAACGCCGCGUGCGGAAUGACGGCCUGCGGGUUGUAAACCGCUUUCGCCUGUGACGAAGCGUGAGUGACGGUAAUGGGUAAAGAAGCACCGGCUAACUACGUG